This is a long non-coding RNA of Pygocentrus nattereri (red-bellied piranha), 2097 nucleotides long. RefSeq lists it as uncharacterized. The record is from RefSeq and is a predicted model, not a curated record. The transcript has 4 exons. NCBI's taxonomy places the organism in Eukaryota, Metazoa, Chordata, Actinopteri, Characiformes, Serrasalmidae.
GCCAGUCUUGCAGUCUUCUCGCUUUUCCCGUUUCACGUCGCUCGCGACGCCUGACGUUCACCGAUUCUGCUGCUCGGCUCGAUUAAACCAAACAGCAAAAACCAAAAAGACCUUUUUUUUCAUUUCGUCGACGACUUCGUUCUUUUUCUUGCUUGGCUCGUGAAGCGACUGCAGCGAGUGGAAUUACCGCAACGUGCACGGUCGUGGCUGUAGGAAGGGGUAACUCGGGCUUCGCUCUGGCUUUUUUUCGGGAAGAAAUGUCUUUUCGACAUCUGGAGUAGCAGAAAAUGAAAGAAGCGUUAGAAGAGAUGAAACUGAGCUGUGGAGCUCAGCCUGAGGAUGCUGAAAGUCGAUGACGAAAACACAAAGCAGUCACGUGACCGCCAAACUUAGGAGGAGCGGAGGACGAGGGAACGAUGAUGAUAGCGGAUGGAGUAGGAGUUGGAGGAUGGAGAAUGGAGUGAACUCAGGAGCAGGUGAACACAGCUGUGGACCGCCAUGGGCUCUCUCUCUUCUUUUUUUCCCCUUGGCUUCUCUGUCUCGGAGGUUCUGAGGAGACGGCAGGGGCCAGCCAGCGAGCGCUGGAGUGGGCAGGCAGAGGCGGGCUGCUGCACCCGCCGGCUAGCGGCUCGGCGGCACCGAAGAGGGAGGGAAAUCGAUGCGGAGGAAAGAGGCUGCCAGGGGUCGCCCAACGCAGCCUCCGGCCAUGGCACCGUGGGAUUCCAAAACGCUCGCCUAUCCCUCGCCCUACCCGCUCCCAGUCAACUCACAUCAGCCUGAGAGAGAGAGAGGGCCAGAAGCACCAGCGAUGCUCCAUGUGAAAGAGCAAGAGAGAGUGUGCGCGUAUGUAUAUGUGUGUGGUUCCGCCGGAGGGACUUUCCAGCCCCAGCACCACUUGAUAAAACUUUGUCUGUGAGGAGAACGAGUAGAAAAAGAGUGUCAAAGGUCCUUCCCCCCACCCCCCACACCCUCCUCAAUUCCUUUUUUCCGUAAGUGCACAUUCCCUGUGACUGUUUGAAUGAACGCUUGACGGAGGAUCCCUCUCACUGUGAAUUGAGGAGGCCUUCUUUUUUUUUUACAGACCCUCCUCCAAGCAUGUACAAAGUGCUCUACAUCAGAUGAGCUGGCAAGAGAGGACAACUUGAACUUUUCUCUUUUUUCCCUUUUUUGAGGACAUUUUUUUCACCUUUUCAGUUGUAGAUUAAAUUAGAUGAUUUUUUUAAAUACUCAGUACCUUUUGAGAGCUUCUGAAAAAGGCUUUGGUUUUGAUCCACAUCAAGAGGUUUUGCACUGCCCUCAUGUACUUACUGCAAAAUUGCUGCUCCCUGGACCCCUGCAGUACUAGUUCUGAUAAGAUCAGGUUGAAAGGGAAGGCAGAGCGGACCAAGCUUCAAAAUGUGAUGAAUUUUCUGAUAUUGGUCCUUAGCCUUAUGCUAAUACAGUGUCCAUUUGGCAUAAGGGAUGCUCCGUUUCUUCCCUCCAGAACUUAGUGGAAUGAACUGAGGGGCUCAUUAUGCUGAGAGUAAUACAUGUCCUUGUGGAUGCUUUGAGGAGUGACGCUUGCCAGGAGAGGAGUCCUAAACCUUCUCAACCUUCUCAACCAACUGGAUCCAAAAUGGUGUUAUGAAUUGCAGAAACACCUCCCUCAUAAUUACUGGACGUCUGUUUCAGAGGACAUGGCUUAAAUGAAUGAAAAGAAAAUGGAUAUGGCAAUGAAAUUUUAUUCUGAAUGGUUAUAUAUAGAGGUUUGCUCUGUACAUUGUCUGGGUAAGUAUUUUGGACCUUAAAAAAGGUAAGUUUCUGGUUUUGUCUUCUGGUGCAGCAGAAAUGGAGGACAAAAUAAUAAUAACUUUAUUUGUAGAGCUCUCGUCAUACAACUUUGCAGACGGCUGAUAAGGUUUAACAGUAAAAGAAAGGAAUAAUUCAAGUUAUAUAUUUCUAAUCAUAAUAUUCCAAUUAAUUGUUCCAGAUGUUUUCAAUGUCUUUAUAUCUGCUAAAACUUUUUUUUUUCAUACAAUUGCUGUGCAUAUGAAGAAAAACAGUGCGAAAAAAAUGUAUCAAAAAUGAGUGAAAAAAUAAAAGUGAAAACUGAAUUCA